Molecule: ribosomal RNA, 453 nt
Filed under: uncultured bacterium
Lineage: Bacteria
Description: bacterial SSU rRNA
Rfam family: Bacterial small subunit ribosomal RNA
Source: RNAcentral
UACGGGAGGCAGCAGUGGGGAAUAUUGCACAAUGGGCGCAAGCCUGAUGCAGCCAUGCCGCGUGUAUGAAAAAGGCCUUCGGGUUGUAAAGUACUUUCAGUCGUGAGGAAGGUGUUAAGGUUAAUAACCUUAGCAAUUGACGUUAGCGACAGAAGAAGCACCGGCUAACUCCGUGCCAGCAGCCGCGGUAAUACGGAGGGUGCGAGCGUUAAUCGGAAUUACUGGGCGUAAAGGGCACGCAGGCGGUUAAUUAAGUUGGAUGUGAAAUCCCCGGGCUUAACCUGGGAAUGGCAUUCAAGACUGGUUAGCUAGAGUCUUGUAGAGGGGGUAGAAUUCCAUGUGUAGCGGUGAAAUGCGUAGAGAUGUGGAGGAAUACCGGUGGCGAAGGCGGCCCCGUGGACAAAGACUGACGCUCAUGUGCGAAGCGUGGGGAGCAAACAGGGAUUAGAUACC